CGCGAUUCGCCCUUCGGGGCGCAGCAGGCGCGAAAACUUUACAAUGCGGGAAACCGUGAUAAGGGGACACCGAGUGCCAGCAUCAUAUGCUGGCUGUCCAGGUGUGUAAAAUACACCUGUUAGCAAGGGCCGGGCAAGACCGGUGCCAGCCGCCGCGGUAACACCGGCGGCCCGAGUGGUGAUCGUGAUUAUUGGGUCUAAAGGGUCCGUAGCCGGUUUGGUCAGUCCUCCGGGAAAUCUGACGGCUCAACCGUUAGGCUUUCGGGGGAUACUGCCAGGCUUGGAACCGGGAGAGGUAAGAGGUACUACAGGGGUAGGAGUGAAAUCUUGUAAUCCCUGUGAGACCACCUGUGGCGAAGGCGUCUUACCAGAACGGGUUCGACGGUGAGGGACGAAAGCUGGGGGCACGAACCGGAUUAGAUACCCGGGUAGUCCCAGCCGUAAACGAUGCUCGCUAGGUGUCAGGCAUGGCGCGACCGUGUCUGGUGCCGCAGGGAAGCCGUGAAGCGAGCCACCUGGGAAGUACGGCCGCAAGGCUGAAACUUAAAGGAAUUGGCGGGGGAGCAC
This 567-nucleotide ribosomal RNA is filed under the name uncultured archaeon. Its description in RNAcentral is "bacterial SSU rRNA". It matches the Rfam family "Archaeal small subunit ribosomal RNA", at positions 312 to 879 of the family's 1478-position model. The record is from RNAcentral.